This 253-nucleotide ribosomal RNA is filed under the name uncultured bacterium. Its description in RNAcentral is "partial 16S ribosomal RNA". It matches the Rfam family "Bacterial small subunit ribosomal RNA", at positions 524 to 776 of the family's 1533-position model. The record is from RNAcentral.
GACGGAAGGUGCAAGCGUUGCUCGGAAUCACUGGGCGUAAAGGGUGCGUAGGCGGCUUGGUAGGUCUGGUGUGAAAGCCCCGGGCUCAGCCCGGGAAGGGCACUAGAAACUGCCAAGCUAGAGUGCCGGAGGGGAGAGUGGAAUUCCUGGUGUAGCGGUGAAAUGCGUAGAGAUCAGGAGGAAUACCGGUGGCGAAAGCGACUCUCUGGACGGCAACUGACGCUGAGGCACGAAAGCGUGGGGAGCAAACAGG